This 314-nucleotide ribosomal RNA is filed under the name unidentified proteobacterium HT-1R. RNAcentral describes it as "bacterial SSU rRNA". It matches the Rfam family "Bacterial small subunit ribosomal RNA", at positions 1182 to 1501 of the family's 1533-position model. The record is from RNAcentral. Lineage: Bacteria; Pseudomonadati; Pseudomonadota.
ACGUCAAGUCAUCAUGGCCCUUACGUCCAGGGCUACACACGUGCUACAAUGGGGUAUACAAAGAGCAGCAAUACGGUGACGUGGAGCAAAUCUCAAAAAUAUCUCCCAGUUCGRAUUGUAGUCUGCAACUCGACUACAUGAAGUUGGAAUCGCUAGUAAUCGUAGAUCAGCUAUGCUACGGUGAAUACGUUCCCGGGUCUUGUACUCACCGCCCGUCACACCAUGGGAGUUGAACUCAUUCGAAGCGGGGAUGCUAAAGUAGCUACCUUCCACAGUGGAUUUAGCGACUGGGGUGAAGUCGUAACAAGGUAACC